Molecule: ribosomal RNA, 447 nt
Filed under: uncultured bacterium
Lineage: Bacteria
Description: partial 16S ribosomal RNA
Rfam family: Bacterial small subunit ribosomal RNA
Source: RNAcentral
AGCGAACGCUGGCGGCAGGCCUAACACAUGCAAGUCGAGCGCCCCGCAAGGGGAGCGGCAGACGGGAGAGUAACACGUGGGAACGUACCCUUUGGUUCGGAACAACCCAGGGAGACUUGGGCUAAUACCGGAUAAGCCCUUACGGGGAAAGAUUCAUCGCCGAAGGAUCGGCCCGCGUCUGAUUAGCUAGUUGGUGAGGUAACGGCCCACCAAGGCGACGAUCAGUAGCUGGUCUGAGAGGAUGAUCAGCCUCACUGGGACUGAGACACGGCCCAGACUCCUACGGGAGGCAGCAGUGGGGAAUAUUGGACAAUGGGCGCAAGCCUGAUCCAGCCAUGCCGCGUGGGUGAUGAAGGCCCUAGGGUUGUAAAGCCCUUUCGGCGGGGAAGAUAAUGACGGUACCCGCAGAAGAAGCCCCGGCUAACUUCGUGCCAGCCGCCGCGGUAA